RNAcentral lists this long non-coding RNA (442 nucleotides) under Prunus dulcis (almond). RNAcentral describes it as "sRNA ncRNA". The record is from RNAcentral. Lineage: Eukaryota; Viridiplantae; Streptophyta; Magnoliopsida; Rosales; Rosaceae.
UCCAGAGGGAAGGUGCUUAAUUUCAAUGGGAAGACCGACGACGUCGAUGAUGUGCACCGUAUUGCACAGCUUCUUCUUCCACUGAACCUCAGCCGAUCUAGGGUAUGCUACGGGCACUUGAAUGUUGCUGCUGCCAUUAUUGUUGUACUAGUCUCUAUUGUAAUCCAUCGAGCAUUUGAUAUUGAAACGGCCAUGCAAAGGCUAAGUGGUUGUGGCCGUUGUUGGAGGUUGUGGUUGGGAAAAAUGAAGGAAUUUUAGGGUUUGGUGGUGAUACGACUCAAAUUACAACCAUGGUAUAGGAGGCAAAGGAGAGGCAGAGGCAGAGGCAAAGAGAGAGGUUUGGUUUGUGGGUAAGAGAUUUAGUUCAUGGGAGUAAUUGGAAUAUUAGUUAGAAAAUGGGAGCAAUUUUACCCACUAUCUGGGUUGGUGGUUGUUUGGGCAC